This 772-nucleotide ribosomal RNA is filed under the name uncultured Neocallimastigales. RNAcentral describes it as "partial large subunit ribosomal RNA". It matches the Rfam family "Eukaryotic large subunit ribosomal RNA", at positions 23 to 616 of the family's 3401-position model. The record is from RNAcentral. Lineage: Eukaryota; Fungi; Neocallimastigomycota; Neocallimastigomycetes; Neocallimastigales.
AGAGAGAGACAUGCGCGCAUAUCAAUAAGCGGAGGAAAAGAAACUAACAAGGAUUCCCCUAGUAACGGCGAGUGAAGCGGGAAGAGCUCAAAUUUGAAAUCUUAAAGGGUUUCCCUUUACGAAUUGUAGUUUAAAGAAGUGUUUUCUGUUGAGGUUUUGGUAAAAGUUCUUUGGAAUAGGACAUCAUAGAGGGUGAGAAUCCCGUAUUUGACCUUUACUUUCAACUUUGUGAUACACUUUCAAAGAGUCGGAUUGUUUGGGAAUGCAGUCCAAAAUGGGUGGUAAAUUUCAUCUAAAGCUAAAUAUUGGCGAGAGACCGAUAGCGAACAAGUACCGUGAGGGAAAGAUGAAAAGAACUUUGAAAAGAGAGUUAAACAGUACGUGAAAUUGUCAAAAGGGAAGCGUUUGACACCAGUGUUGUUUUUCUGAAAAUCAAUUAAAGAACUGUUUAUGCUAAGUUGUUUAGACUUUAUCAGCUAACUGUUUAGUUUUGAGCUUUUCUUUAAUGCACUUUUCAGUUAACAAGUCAACAUCAAUUUCUUUUGCUGUAAAAAAGCUUGAGGAAGGUGGCUUGAGAUUCGUCUUAAGUGUUUAUAGCCUCUUGCCUAUGCAGUCGGAGAGAUUGAGGUCUGCAGCGUAGAUCCUUCGGGGCUAAAUGCAUUUGUGCUAAGUUAUAGCAUUUAUAGACAACUUGUUGACUAUGAUUUGUCUUGUAGCUUACUCGCUUAUGUUAUUUUACCUACGCUUAGGAUGUUGAGCCAUGUCUCUCUCU